ACUGAUGAGUUGCGAACGGGUGAGUAACGCGUAGGUAACCUGCCUCAUAGCGGGGGAUAACUAUUGGAAACGAUAGCUAAUACCGCAUAAGAGUGAUUAACACAUGUUAGUUAUUUAAAAGGAGCAAUUGCUUCACUGUGAGAUGGACCUGCGUUGUAUUAGCUAGUUGGUGAGGUAAAGGCUCACCAAGGCGACGAUACAUAGCCGACCUGAGAGGGUGAUCGGCCACACUGGGACUGAGACACGGCCCAGACUCCUACGGGAGGCAGCAGUAGGGAAUCUUCGGCAAUGGACGGAAGUCUGACCGAGCAACGCCGCGUGAGUGAAGAAGGUUUUCGGAUCGUAAAGCUCUGUUGUUAGAGAAGAACGUUGGUAGGAGUGGAAAAUCUACCAAGUGACGGUAACUAACCAGAAAGGGACGGCUAACUACGUGCCAGCAGCCGCGGUAAUACGUAGGUCCCGAGCGUUGUCCGGAUUUAUUGGGCGUAAAGCGAGCGCAGGCGGUUCUUUAAGUCUGAAGUUAAAGGCAGUGGCUUAACCAUUGUACGCUUUGGAAACUGGAGGACUUGAGUGCAGAAGGGGAGAGUGGAAUUCCAUGUGUAGCGGUGAAAUGCGUAGAUAUAUGGAGGAACACCGGUGGCGAAAGCGGCUCUCUGGUCUGUAACUGACGCUGAGGCUCGAAAGCGUGGGGAGCAAACAGGAUUAGAUACCCUGGUAGUCCACGCCGUAAACGAUGAGUGCUAGGUGUUAGGCCCUUUCCGGGGCUUAGUGCCGCAGCUAACGCAUUAAGCACUCCGCCUG
This 801-nucleotide ribosomal RNA is filed under the name uncultured Streptococcaceae bacterium. RNAcentral's name for it is "bacterial SSU rRNA". It matches the Rfam family "Bacterial small subunit ribosomal RNA", at positions 87 to 875 of the family's 1533-position model. The record is from RNAcentral. Lineage: Bacteria; Bacillati; Bacillota; Bacilli; Lactobacillales; Streptococcaceae.